CCUACGGGAGGCAGCAGUGGGGAAUCUUGCACAAUGGGGGAAACCCUGAUGCAGCGACGCCGCGUGAGCGAUGAAGCCUUUCGGGGUGUAAAGCUCUUUCGGCCGGAACGAUAAUGACGGUACCGGCAGAAGAAGCUGCGGCUAACUACGUGCCAGCAGCCGCGGUAAUACGUAGGCAGCAAGCGUUGUUCGGAGUUACUGGGCGUAAAGAGUACGUAGGCGGUGCCGCCAGUCCGGUGUGAAAUCUCCUGGCUUAACUGGGAGGGUGCGCUGGAAACUGCGGUGCUGGAGUGCGGGAGAGGAAAGCGGAAUUCCUGGUGUAGCGGUGAAAUGCGUAGAGAUCAGGAGGAACACCUGUGGUGUAGACGGCUUUCUGGACCGUAACUGACGCUGAGGUACGAAAGCGUGGGGAGCAAACAGGAUUAGAUACCCUUGUAGUC
RNAcentral lists this ribosomal RNA (440 nucleotides) under uncultured bacterium. RNAcentral's name for it is "bacterial SSU rRNA". It matches the Rfam family "Bacterial small subunit ribosomal RNA", at positions 338 to 795 of the family's 1533-position model. The record is from RNAcentral.